RNAcentral lists this unclassified non-coding RNA (87 nucleotides) under Pseudomonas salomonii. The record is from RNAcentral. Lineage: Bacteria; Pseudomonadati; Pseudomonadota; Gammaproteobacteria; Pseudomonadales; Pseudomonadaceae.
UGUGGGAGCUGGCUUGCCUGCGAUGGCAUCGCCGCGGUAUUACCCGUACACCGCGGUGAUGCUAUCGCAGGCAAGCCAGCUCCCACA